Molecule: long non-coding RNA, 477 nt
Filed under: Homo sapiens (human)
Lineage: Eukaryota; Metazoa; Chordata; Mammalia; Primates; Hominidae
Description: HSALNT0317402
Source: RNAcentral
GCGGGGGGUCCCUGGGGCAGACGCCCUGCUAUCCUCAUCUUAGGAUACCCAGUUCCCAACACAGUGCCUGCUGCAAAUUAUCAGUAAUAACAGGCCAUUAACUCCCCUGCUGGUCCCUAUCCAUGGAGCCCAUUGACAGAUGAGUUUGAUUCUGGACCUAAGAAGGACAGUUAACAGACACAGAUAUCUUUUAAGACCCUGAACUCUCCUCUCUACACCAUCGCAUGUCAGUGGAACUAUAAGCCUCAAGACCUGAGUUCAAGUUCGUCCUCUGCCACUUACUAAUGUGAUCUUGGCAAGUCACGUAUUCUCUCUGGGGCUCAUUCUCUGCAUCUGUAAAAUGGGGAUUAAAAACUCUGUGUCCCGCCUGAUUAAUUCUCUAUGACUUGGGAGUCUUCUGGCCAACCUCACUCUGAAAACGUCACCAGACCAAAGAUACAUGGAGCAGUUGGCCUCCUUUAUAGGACGCUGUCCCGC